CUUAAGAGCAUAGACACUCACUUCAUAUUUGGUGGCCACCUAGAGAAAUAAGGGCAUGGUGAGCUUUAGCAACGUCCUCAACUGAAACCCAAGGAGUUUCACUACAGCAUUAGGUAAAUGCAAUGGUUAGAAAAUAAAAAAUAAACAAACCAGCAAAACCCACAACCUUGAAAAUUCCUAGAUUAAUUUCAUUCCUACAGUGCAGGUGAUAAAUGUAUUUAUCAAUUUUAAAAUGCUCUUAGCGGUUAAGCUUAAGUAAGCCAUAGAUUAUAUACUUAAACUAAGCUGGUAAAAAAAAUGAGAAAAGUGGGUAUUAGCGUAUUUUUCUUUUUUAUGAUCUGACAGGUGUAAAUCAUAAUUUUUUCCUUAUCAUAGAGAGGCAAAGAGAAUGUUCCAUUUUGUCUCUGAACCCUCUUUCUGUAGUUUCCCCUGAAAUUGGCCUUAUGUUAAGAGGUACAUCAGUCCCCUAGGUUCCUAGCAGUUUUCUGCAUGUAUGUCUGGAAGGAUUUUAAAAUGUUUUAAUGAGGGUAGGCUCAAGGUAGACUGGUACAAACUGUAAAAUAUUCUUUACCAAGGUAACAGAGCUCAGAAAAUGCAUAACUAAGUCGAUUUAUGCAUUCAACCAAUGGAUAUGUAAAUUGCCCCCCACAACCUUUUAAAAUAAGCACAAUACAUCUAAAAGAGCUGCACAAAAUCCAAAGCUAUUUAUAAAAUUCUGUCCCAAUAGUCAUCUGGAAAACUUAGGUCAACAUAAAGGAAUUCCGUUGAUAUAAAAUUACAAUAAGAUUAUUUGAUGCAGAGGAAAAGAACAGUUAGAUUUAUUAUGAUAUUAUAUUUUCACCACCUUAGAAACUGUGUUAGAGAUGAUCUCCAUCUUUAUUCCAAUGAACAACGGUCAUGUCUUACCAUAAGUCCUGAUACAACCACGGAUGAGCUGUCAGGAGCAAGGUUGAUUUCUUUCAUUGGUCCGGUCUUCUCCUUGGGGGUCACCCGCACUCGAUAUCCAGUGAGCUGAACAUUGGGUGGUGUCCACUGGGCGCUCAGGCUUGUGGGUGUGACCUGAGUGAACUUCAGGUCAGUUGGUGCAGGAAUAGCUGUCGAGAUUGUCAUUGGUUAGAGGUUAUCUUAUAGGAAAUGGGGGAAAAGGAAAAUAAAGUGAGUUCCAAGAAGUAGAAUGGAUUGUUCUUGUUGGGCUAGGUGGGUUCCCUGGUCAAGCAAAGAUUCAGUACAAGAAAGUACGUACAGUAAGGGAUGCAAAAUGAAGAAAGUGUUUGCUGAGAAAUGUGUUUUAUAUCCACCAAUUCUCAGAAUCACUGAAAACAUUUGGGUAAAUGCCAAAACUCUAAGAGAUUUUAGGUUUUACAAGUUUUGCUUUCCCUUAAAAAAAAAAGUUACAUUGGCUUAUUGGCCAUUAUGAUUUAUUUUACUUUUGUAUGGAAAAAUAAGCAAUGGCCCUUUUUCUUUCUUAAAAUUGUUAAUUAAUUAAUUUAGAAACGGUCUCUCUGUGUCAUCCAGGCGGCAGUGCAGUGGAGUUAUCAUAGCUCACUGCAGCCUUGAACUCGUAGGCUCAAGUGAUCCUCUACCUCAGCCUCUUGAGUAGCUGGGACUACAGGCAUGUGUCACCACACCUCGCUAAUUUUUUCAUAUUUUUUUGUAGAGACGGGGUCUCACUUCAUUGCCCAGGCUGAUCAUGAACUCCUGGCCUCAAUCAGUGCUCCCGGCUUAGCCUCCCAAAGCACUAGGAUUACAUGUGUGAGCCACUGCACCCGGCCUCCUUUUUCUAUUCUACAUAAAGUAUCUUUGUAUGGAUAACCAUUUCACGCAGUAUUCCAUCCAAAAAAGAGAGAAUAAUGUUUUUAUUGUCUCUUUAUUUGGACCCUAUGGCAGAUAUGGCUGCUAAAUUUGACGUUCUCUCUGUAAUGCGGCGUAAGAAGAAAACUGGCUCCCAACAGAAGCAGAAAAGAGAAGCGAAAAGCAAUAAUACAGACUGUCACCUCUAGGGUUUAUGCUGUCACUAGGAUACAUCUUUAGCAUUCUACUCUGCUUCAGAAAUAAAGCACAAGAAGAUAAAGUAUUAUGGAAAGCAAUUGCCCUAUUGAUUAUUUCCUAGGUGUCUAAAUCACAAUCAUUUAAGCUAA
Molecule: long non-coding RNA, 2138 nt
Filed under: Homo sapiens (human)
Lineage: Eukaryota; Metazoa; Chordata; Mammalia; Primates; Hominidae
Description: HSALNT0046858
Source: RNAcentral